UCGAUUCCCUUAGUAGCGGCGAGCGAAACGGGAAGAGCCCAAACCAACAAGCUUGCUUGUUGGGGUUGUAGGACACUCUAUACGGAGUUACAAAGGACGACAUUAGACGAAUCAUCUGGAAAGAUGAAUCAAAGAAGGUAAUAAUCCUGUAGUCGAAAAUGUUGUCUCUCUUGAGUGGAUCCUGAGUACGACGGAGCACGUGAAAUUCCGUCGGAAUCUGGGAGGACCAUCUCCUAAGGCUAAAUACUCUCUAGUGACCGAUAGUGAACCAGUACCGUGAGGGAAAGGUGAAAAGCACCCCGGAAGGGGAGUGAAAUAGAACCUGAAACCGUGUGCUUACAAGUAGUCAGAGCCCGUUAAUGGGUGAUGGCGUGCCUUUUGUAGAAUGAACCGGCGAGUUACGAUUUGAUGCAAGGUUAAGCAGUAAAUGUGGAGCCGUAGCGAAAGCGAGUCUGAAUAGGGCGUUUAGUAUUUGGUCGUAGACCCGAAACCAGGUGAUCUACCCUUGGUCAGGUUGAAGUUCAGGUAACACUGAAUGGAGGACCGAACCGACUUACGUUGAAAAGU
RNAcentral lists this ribosomal RNA (567 nucleotides) under Staphylococcus aureus. RNAcentral describes it as "partial 23S ribosomal RNA". It matches the Rfam family "Bacterial large subunit ribosomal RNA", at positions 231 to 797 of the family's 2925-position model. The record is from RNAcentral. Lineage: Bacteria; Bacillati; Bacillota; Bacilli; Caryophanales; Staphylococcaceae.